CUCGCAGUAGAGUAUGCUCAUAGUAGAGUACAAUUCAGAUUCAGAAAUGGUGCAAUGAGAAAAAGAAAGAGAGCUCGAGCUUAGAAAAGUUUCAAAUCCCUGUAGUCAACUUCCAAAAAGUAUCAAAUGGACACCAGAUGAGACAAAGUGUGACCCAAAUAGUAAAGGAUGAACUAGAUUAGCCCCUCGAUUCCUUGAGGAGGUUAUGAUGUGAGAUUGAGUCUUGAGAGUGACUUAGAAAAGUGUUAAAUCCCUGUAGUCAACUUCCAAAUAGUUUAUUUAAUUCUUUUCCCUUACUGAGUGUUCUUAUCUCUCACUUCCUUUUCUUUCAUGAUUGCAAGUACAAGUGAUCGAGGUAGUUGUGAGGCAGGGUUAGGUCAGCAAAGAUAGGUCCGGGCUAGGCUAGGUUAUCUAUGAUUUUUGUUGCAUGCAUAUGAUAUUGUUGACUUUUAACCCUAUUCAGAUAAUUGUACAAUUGUAUCUAGGGGCAUGUAAAUGAUUACUCUAUGAUUUCAAAUGUUUUCAUAUGAGUUUUCAUAUGGGAUAUAUACAUCUUUUGUUCGCUUCCAAAUUUUUAGUUUUCUCAGAAUAAUUUGGGAACACUUUUAGCGACGAGUUCAUUUUAAAAUUUGUUUUAAAAUAAAUGCUCCAGAUAUUAAUUCGUAACAUUUUUCCUUCAGAAGACAGCACUUCUGGGGAGGGAUGUUACAGUAAUGUAAGUACAAAAUCCUUGAGCUUAUAAUAUUUUAGGUCAAAACAUGCUGAUAAGAUCCCCUUUAUGUCCCCAUGUCCCUUUCUCAUAUGGUAAAGGGAUGGCUGAUGGUUGUGCAAAUUUAAUAAAGCAAGUGUUGCUUCCAGAGGAAAUUUACUCCAUUUCUAGGGCUUUUUGUUUGCCUAAUCUUCACGAUAUGCCUGAUCUUGGAACUUUUUCCUAUGGUAUUUUUUAUAGAUGAUUUGGCUUACCGCAUAGUAGUUUAAUAGUUUCAAGGUAAAGCUUACUUUAUGUUGCCUUCUGAACUAUUUGGCUAACUUUCGGCAAUUUACAUUCGUGGUCUAUGCUUUGUAGUUCUCUAUUACAGAAUGUUGAAGUGCCUUUUUUUAAAUGUUAUUCAGUGUGUUUUCGGGUUGGCUUUAUCUCAGGCUGUUCGGCAUAACUAGUAAUUAAUUAGGUGUUAUAUCCAUUGCUGCUUGGCAUAACUUGGAGAAAUAAUUUGAUGUGAAAUUUGCUCAUCAUCUAGCUUCACUCUCUGUACAGGGGUUGUUGAGUCCUCGGUUAAUGGCGGGAAACAAAUUGAUGCCGUAGAUUUCAUUCAUGCCUUCAGCUUACUGAAAGCUUUCCCCCUGUUCCCCUCUUGAAGACAUACUUAAAGAAUUGAAGGAGAAACUCACAGGGAAAGGGUGUGAGUUCGGGUGGAGAUACUAGUGCACAGAUUGAUGUAAAUGCACAGGAACUUGCUGCUUUGAAAGGUGUAGUUAGUUGUGUCCAAGAGUAGAGGCUUGAACCUGACUAUCCUCUUGAUCCACUUCAGAAAAGGACUGAACAACUGGAGAGGUCGAAAUCUGAUAAGAAAAGGGGUGGAGGUUUUGGUAGACGUCAACACUUUGAGAAACAAAGAGCAAACUGAACAUCGUAGGCUUGUUCUGCCUGUUUUCUGAUCUGUUGUGCACUCGUGAGCAAGAUGCAACAUUUUAUUUGACAGGGAAGCAUAUGGAGGAAUACCUGAGAGAUAUCCUCUGGCUGGUCCAAACUCUUAUGAUUAUCAAGUUCCUAGCCAGCCUGUUUUUGCUCAGCAACCAAAUGAUCAAAGAAUAUGCUUUUAUCCCCAAGAUGUAGUUAUCAAAUGCAUGAUUUGUGUGCAACCUUAGUGAAUGUGUAGAGAAUUUAUUUGUGAGUGAAUAACAUUUUCCCUGACUGAGGCGAACUCUCCCGUUGAUAUGCUAAGUUAUUACCUUUUCAAUGCUUUUGUUUUGGUACGAUCUCCAUUGAUCCUUAGUGAAUGAUUGUAAUGAAUAUUCUUUUUAUUGAUAUAUGAUUUAGCAACCUUUCAAUUAACAGGCAAAUUGGUUGAAAAAUCA
Molecule: long non-coding RNA, 2076 nt
Organism: Mangifera indica (mango)
Lineage: Eukaryota; Viridiplantae; Streptophyta; Magnoliopsida; Sapindales; Anacardiaceae
Exons: 2
Source: RefSeq, a predicted model, not a curated record